Molecule: long non-coding RNA, 332 nt
Organism: Herpailurus yagouaroundi (jaguarundi)
Lineage: Eukaryota; Metazoa; Chordata; Mammalia; Carnivora; Felidae
Exons: 3
Source: RefSeq, a predicted model, not a curated record
CACGUCUGUCAGAUGCACCCACGAAGUCGCGUCACUCGCUGGCUGCCGCAAAGCAACGCUCACGCCACGAUGGAGGAGAUCGCCUGGAACACGCCUGGAAUGGAGUGGGCGCUAGGCAAACAGCUGCGCGGUGAAUGGACGUGCGGAGGUGUGUCUGCCGGACGCACGCGGCCAACACUUCUUGAGGCCUCAGGACCUUUGCUCGGCACCAGGCGGAGUGGAAGCCCACAGGCCACUCACAAUGGCCCCUCGAUGUGCGUUUGGAAGAGGAGGCUGGAAAUCGAAGCUCCUGUUUGGGGUGUGUUGGAGGUGACUGGCCCCUGUGCGGUGCG